GGGUAAUUUUCCGCAAUGGGCGCAAGCCUGACGGAGCAAUACCGCGUGAGGGAGGAAGGCUCUUGGGUCGUAAACCUCUUUUAUCAGGGAAGAACACAAUGACGGUACCUGAGGAAUCAGCAUCGGCUAACUCCGUGCCAGCAGCCGCGGUAAUACGGAGGAUGCAAGCGUUAUCCGGAAUGAUUGGGCGUAAAGCGUCCGUAGGUGGUUAUGUAAGUCUGUGGUUAAAGCGUGGGGCUCAACCCCAUAAGGGCCAUGGAAACUACGCAACUAGAGUCAAGUAGGGGUAGAGGGCAUUCCCAGUGUAGCGGUGAAAUGCGUAGAGAUUGGGAAGAACACCGGUGGCGAAAGCGCUCUACUGGACUUAAACUGACACUGAGGGACGAAAGCUAGGGGAGCGAAAGGGAUUAGAUACCCCUGUAGUCCUAGCCGUAAACGAUGGAUACUAGGUGUUGCCCGUAUCGACCCGGGCAGUGCCGUAGCUAACGCGUUAAGUAUCC
RNAcentral lists this ribosomal RNA (500 nucleotides) under uncultured cyanobacterium. RNAcentral's name for it is "bacterial SSU rRNA". It matches the Rfam family "Bacterial small subunit ribosomal RNA", at positions 356 to 869 of the family's 1533-position model. The record is from RNAcentral. Lineage: Bacteria; Bacillati; Cyanobacteriota.